Oncorhynchus nerka (sockeye salmon) is the source of this 1395-nucleotide long non-coding RNA. RefSeq lists it as uncharacterized. Lineage: Eukaryota; Metazoa; Chordata; Actinopteri; Salmoniformes; Salmonidae. The transcript has 3 exons. The record is from RefSeq and is a predicted model, not a curated record.
UUUUGGAUAAUAAACGUUCCCGUUUUAAACAAGAUAUUUUGUCACGGAAAAGAUGCUCAACUAUGCAUAUAAUUGACAGCUUUGAAUAGAAAACACUGACGUUUCCAAAACUGCAAAGAUUUUGUCUGUGAGUGCAACAGAACUGAUGUUACAAGCGAAACCCAGAUAAAAAUCUAAUCAGGAAGUGCCGCAUUUUUUGAAACCGCCUCAUGCCAAUGACUCCUUAUAUGGCUGUGAAUGAGCUACGAAUGAGCUUACGUUUUCUACGUAUUCCCCAAGGUGUCUACAGCAUUGUGACGUCUUUUUACGCAUUUAUGUUGAAAAAUAGCCGUAAGGGACCACAUUUAGCAAGUGGUCACAUGAUAUCUCCCGCAGAAAAUCUUGCAUAAAGUACUGAGGUAGCCAUUUUUCCAAUCGCUUCUUAUGAGAAACCAAUUGUCUCGACGGAUAUAUAAAGUUUGGCUUGUAGUGACUGCAUUUUCCGGUCGAUUUCUCAGCCAUACCUGACGAACAAACGGUAGCUAUUUUGCCUACAAAAAUAAUAUUUUGGGAAAAAAGGAACACUUGCUAUCUAACUGGGAGUCUCCUGAGUGAAAACAUCCAAAGUUCUCCGAUAAUAGAUACAAAACAAAAACGCAAACAUAAAUUAAUCAACUCUAAUUACCACAUGUAGGUCAGUAUGCAGUUGUAUUUCUCACAUGUGCAGCAAAUAGUAUUUGUUUUACAGUCCUUCUUUGCGGGGCAGAAUUGUUAUCUCCUCUUGCAUUCCCCAGCUGCAGCCUCAGGUGGAUCAGGACAAGAUUCAGCCCCCUGAACAGCCUUCACAAGCGCUGCAGAGGCUGCUGUGGAGGAGGCACUCCCUUCUUUGAAUGUGUGGGGUUUGGAAAGUGCCAUUCCCACCUGCUCCAGGAACAACCUCCUCUUGUUCUGCUUCGCAGGAAUCCAGGAUGAUGGCUGGCUUCCUGUCCUCGUGAUCACUGAUCUCAGCCGCUGUGUGCAGUGUGCCCUUGUUCCUCUUUAGGAGGAGCUGCUGGCUGAGUUCAUAAGAGGUGAAGAAAUUGUCAAACGUGACAUUGUGCCCCAUCAGUCCAACUGUCACAUCGAGCACCACCCACAUCCCCUGGUUCUUCUCCGGGCCUCCACUGGUCGGUUUUCCUGUGUAGACUUGCAUCUUCCAAGCGUAGCUGGAUUGUGCGUCACAGGCCACCCAUAUCUUGAUGCCAUACUUUGCUGGCUUGCUGGGCAUAUACUGCAGGGAAGGACAGCAACCUUUUUGACAAGAGAUUACGAUCAUUAAUUGUUUUCUGUGACACUGAUACUAAUCACAUAAAACAAUGGUAUUAGAGCAAUACAUAAUAAAAUGAACAGUGAAAAUCACUUACAUUACAGAUAUGA